Long non-coding RNA from Dendroctonus ponderosae (mountain pine beetle), 470 nucleotides. RefSeq lists it as uncharacterized. Lineage: Eukaryota; Metazoa; Arthropoda; Insecta; Coleoptera; Curculionidae. The transcript has 2 exons. The record is from RefSeq and is a predicted model, not a curated record.
GUUUUUCAUGUAAAAUAUCAUCUGUGGUUGCCAGAAUGUAGGCUAAAUUGCUGUGCAAUGAAGAAGACAUAGUAAGCAACCUGAAUUAGUUGACGUUUUCAGUGUUUUUUCUGUUUUGGUUUAUAUUUUGUAACGAUUUGUAUUGUAGAAAAAAUAGUUUGUAAAUUAAUUGGUCUACAUACAUACCUACAUACUAAAAACUAAUAAUAAGAAAGUAGAACAGUAAAAUGGGAAUUUGCACUGUGAGUGGUAACCGUUUAAUCAUAUCAGGCAACAGAAAAUUAUUGUUUUCACUCAUAUAUAGAAGAAAACUGAUUAAGUACAGGAAAAAUUUACUAAUGACUUCGAAUAACUUACUAAUGACCUAGACUAAAAUUGGCAAAUCUCUGCAACGAUUAUUGUUUAUGUAGGUAAAUUAAUAUAAAUAUGGGCAAGUUUUAAAAUAAAUCAACAAAGCAGAUUCGCAUUUA